GCAAAACGCGAAGAACCUUACCCGGGUUUGAACGUAGGGAGACAGGAGUGGAAACAUUCUAUUCAGCAAUGACUGCCUACGAGGUGCCGCAUGGUUGUCGUCAGCUCGUGCCGUGAGGUGUCGGCUUAAGUGCCAUAACGAGCGCAACCCUUAUUUCCAGUUACUAACAGGUGAAGCUGAGGACUCUGGAGAGACUGCCAGCGUAAGCUGUGAGGAAGGUGGGGAUGACGUCAAAUCAGCACGGCCCUUACAUCCGGGGCGACACACGUGUUACAAUGGUAAGGACAAAGGGCAGCUACCGGGCGACCGGAUGCGAAUCUCUAAACCUUAUCUCAGUUCGGAUCGGAGUCUGCAACUCGACUCCGUGAAGCUGGAUUCGCUAGUAAUCGCGCAUCAGCCAUGGCGCGGUGAAUACGUUCCCGGGUCUUGUACACACCG
This 438-nucleotide ribosomal RNA is filed under the name uncultured bacterium. RNAcentral describes it as "bacterial SSU rRNA". It matches the Rfam family "Bacterial small subunit ribosomal RNA", at positions 954 to 1392 of the family's 1533-position model. The record is from RNAcentral.